GGUUCGAUGGUGUAGUUGGUUAUCACUUCUGUCUAACAUUCGAAUGAGAUGCGGUAUAUAACCAAUUCCCUCGGUUGUGCACAGGCGGUCCUCAGUUCGAACCUGGGUCGAAUCA
This is a non-coding RNA of Mycena polygramma, 115 nucleotides long. Lineage: Eukaryota; Fungi; Basidiomycota; Agaricomycetes; Agaricales; Mycenaceae. The record is from the annotation of a GenBank genome assembly.